CUCUCAUCUCUCCCACCGUCUUCUCUCGUCACUGCACACAGACAUCCGUCCCUAUCAUCUUCAUCACCUGUUUCAUCUCCACAAUAUCUCUUAGUAAUAAUUAUUUUUUUUCCUCUACACCACAGGUCCACAACAGAUCUCCCCUCUCUCUCUCUCCCUUUUCUAUUUAUCUUUUUUUCUUCUUUUUCAUCUAUUUUUCUUCCUCCAUAUCUAAUCACACACAACUUGUUCCGAUCAUCCACGAACAGAUUCAUCAAAUUCCGGCAGCCCACAGCCAGAUCCGUCGAAUUCCGGUCGCCCACGACCUACUCCACCCAGAUCCAGCCACCCCGCCGGACUCCGCCCAAAUGCCGCCACCAACAGCCACCUCCAAUGUUGUCUUUUAGUCAAAAACCGGAGUCAAUGGCCGGUUUCCGGGUUGAGCGGUUUUGUCCGGUCGAACCGGGGUUUAAACAUUUGGACCGGGUUUUUUGUUUUUCCGGUUUUAGGGGUCGGAUCGGACCGUUUUCUUCACGGGUCGCGGUCGGACCGGUUCGACCGGCCGGUCCGGUCCGGUUCUGACAACCUUGGUUUAUUAUAUUGUAUGUCAUAAUUUUGAUCAAACCAAUUAUUUAUAAUAUGUAACAGUUACAUUUUUCAUACAUGUUAUAUUUAAAACACCUAUAUGGAAUAAAGAAAAUUAAAUUUAUCUAAAAAGUAAUAAAAUACAAUAAAGUAAUAUUUUUUAGGAUUUUUUUUCAAACUUAUAACAACUAUAUGAG
Molecule: long non-coding RNA, 761 nt
Filed under: Erythranthe guttata (spotted monkey flower)
Lineage: Eukaryota; Viridiplantae; Streptophyta; Magnoliopsida; Lamiales; Phrymaceae
Description: long non-coding RNA (EGUT_LNC000011)
Source: RNAcentral